CAGUAGCCGCGGGAAUACGGAGGGUGCAAGCGUUAAUCGGAAUUACUGGGCGUAAAGCGCACGCAGGCGGUUUGUUAAGUCAGAUGUGAAAUCCCCGAGCUUAACUUGGGAACUGCAUUUGAAACUGGCAAGCUAGAGUCUUGUAGAGGGGGGUAGAAUUCCAGGUGUAGCGGUGAAAUGCGUAGGGAUCUGGAGGAAUACCGGGGCGAAGGCGGCCCCCUGGACAAAGACUGACGCUCAGGUGCGAAAGCGUGGGGAGCAAACAGGAUUAGAUACCCCUGUAGUCCCUGUCUCUUAUACA
RNAcentral lists this ribosomal RNA (301 nucleotides) under uncultured bacterium. RNAcentral describes it as "partial 16S ribosomal RNA". It matches the Rfam family "Bacterial small subunit ribosomal RNA", at positions 509 to 808 of the family's 1533-position model. The record is from RNAcentral.